UGUUGGGCAGGUGCAUACUUUAUAUGCACAACACUAGCAAGCUUAAAACAUGCAUAUAUGGUUAUACAACCACCACCUUCAUUGAUGAGUUAGAGAAACAUAACAAUUAUUUUAUGGACGUAGUUAUUUAUCACCUUUCAGCAUAUAAGGAAUGGUGUUGGGGCUAAUAUAUGCUAAGACGCAGAACCUUCUCACUCCAAUAACCAUGCAUGAAUGCUGGAACUUGGGCGGUUCAUCAAAAUGGCAUAUAAGGAAAUGAAAAACAGCCUGUAUUCAAAAUACAUGCAUGACCCAUCUAAUUAGAAGUUGAGAAUGUCCUUCUUUCUCGGCCAAGGCAGGUACAAAGUAAGUUGAUUUUAUGGACGACGGGGAUCUUCCUGUUCCAUGUCUGUGUAGUAUGGCUAGGUGUAUGGAGGCAGGUUUUUAUAUGUUCAUGAGACUGCACAUCGAGUAGAUUCAUUUCUGCACAUCUUAUAGUUCCAUGUUUUUCUAGAGUCAUCCUGGUAGAUAUCCAGCCUACUUAUUUCUGCUUUUGAUAGCGAACUUCUACUUUACUUUAUUGAAUAUGAAUACUAACUAAUUGCAAUUUGGUCAUUUUCACUUUAUUGAACUUGUUAUUGCAAUUUUAUUAGAUAGUGCAUCCAAAUGCUACCUAAAUAGUCAAUUCGUGUUGGAUUAGAAGUAUCAUAGUCGCGAGAACAUACAACCUAAACUGAUUCUACUAAAAUAAAACAUUGGGCUGAAACUCAGAAGACAAAAUAGAAUCGUGUAAUGAAUGUAGCAUUCUUGGGUUGGUGUUCUCAACAAUGGGAUGAGAUGUCCUAUUUAGGAGGGUCCAUUGAUUGACGGUUCGGUUGUGCAGGACUAAACGGUUUGAUCCGGCUCUCAAAUUUGCCUUCCUGUUUGCUCUGCCCCCACUGUUUGGUCUUUGGUUGAUUCUCAGUAUCGCUGGAAGUGUUCUUGUUGGAAUGGGUUAUGGGUUCUUCGUGCUGUGGGUUUUGACUUUUGAGGCCUUUAGACAGGUUGGGGAGUCGAAGAAGUUCUUGCACUGCAUUGUGAUAAAAAGUCUUUUGGGGACGAAAGUGGAGUGGCUUUAUUAUAUACUUCAGGCAUUUAAUGCUGGUGAUUUGGUUCGUUAUCAAGAACUCUGCCAUGUCCAUAGCGCUGCUCUUAGUGCACAGCCUGCAUUAGUUGAGAAUGAGAAGAAAUUAUUGGAGAAAAUUAACAUUCUUUGUUUGAUGGAAAUCAUCUUCAGGCCAGCUUCACCAAUUAGGCCUAAAAUUGAGCGAUCUUUUUUUGUUUUUUCUUCUGACUGAGCUUCAUGUAAUGAAUGGAAACUAAAUUGAUGAAUGUUUCCAUCAUAGUUUGGGUAUCUAUGAACAGUAUCAGGAGCAAUGGCAUGAUCUGUUGUAACCCCAUGUGUUGUGGGUUUGUUGUAUAUGAAGUUCGAUCAAUAAUGGCAACUCCCUCUCUUUUUUGUUGCAUUGUAAAAAGAAAUGCAUUUGCUUGGUUUGCUGGUUGCAGGUGGUUUAGCUAAAAAUCAUAUCUACUUUGCAAACCAUGUCGAGAUUUUUGGAGGUAAGUUGUUCCCAAGCUUCGAAUUUCACUAGGUUUCGAUUCGUUUCGUGUAUUUUCCACCAAUUUAGUUGGUAUUUUGAAUAGCUGAAUGUUUAUUUUGUCUUUGGCUAUUGCAGAUUUUGCUUAUUCAGAAAUGAGAAGAUCAUUGUAUGCUCUCGAGUAUUUUAUUUCUUUUUUAUGUGAUCUCGUCGUCGUCUUUCUCUAUAAUUUAGUUCUUCAGUUUCGGGGUAUAGCUUUUUCAUAUGACUACAUUGUUUGUAUGAUGAAAUUGAUUUUCAGCCAUGUGUAGUAAGCUUUCAGAUCUAAGCGAAGCUGAGAAUAGGGUGUUAGUUGAUGAAAAAUUGAUAACCAGUAGAGGCACAUCCAUGGAGUUCUCGCUUGCGAUUGUUGAGAAGUUAUUUGGUUGCGAGAAGGCAUUGGAUCUUACUGUCAAUGAGAACUUUAAAUAGACAUAUAACUAUUAUGUUGGCAUUGUACUUUUGUGAAUGGAUUAAAAUGAAUGAUUGUAUUUGAUUGAAUGAAUGAAUGA
This is a long non-coding RNA of Magnolia sinica, 2107 nucleotides long. RefSeq lists it as uncharacterized. The transcript is spliced from 6 exons. The record is from RefSeq and is a predicted model, not a curated record. NCBI's taxonomy places the organism in Eukaryota, Viridiplantae, Streptophyta, Magnoliopsida, Magnoliales, Magnoliaceae.